Long non-coding RNA from Pseudophryne corroboree (corroboree frog), 710 nucleotides. RefSeq lists it as uncharacterized. The transcript has 3 exons. Lineage: Eukaryota; Metazoa; Chordata; Amphibia; Anura; Myobatrachidae. The record is from RefSeq and is a predicted model, not a curated record.
CUGCCACCAACUGUCACCCACUGUCAUCCCAAACUGACUCACUGGCAGAUGCUGAGGCUCUCCUAUUUGAACUUUGGACUGUGCUGCAGCCUCACCUCUGAAGCCGCCACUGAUUAGCAUCAAAUUCCUGUUUCCUGCCAGAGUCCCCUCAGCCGCAUCAAACCAUAGUUACUAGAGCUUGGAACGUAUAGUAGAUGAGCUGAGAGACAUAUUACACACACAGCAAGGAGCAAGGGCGUAGCUACCAUAGGUGCAGGCAGUGCAGCUGCUAUGGGGCCCAGAGCUGAGAGGGGCCCACCUUCCCUGUCACAGUUUUAUGUGUUAUAUACAAUCCUUUCAAACGUUUUCCUUGGGGCCUGCAAUAUAUCUAGAUAAGUAAAUGAGCUACUACAGAGAUCAACUGAGAAGGCUGUUCUGAGAAUUAACAAUGCCGCUCGGUUUCUCUCAGAUGUAUGUUGGGAUUUCAAGCAUCCACAUUGAAACACAGAGAAGCAAAAGCAGAAACCCACACAGGAGCAACCAAACAAACUUCAUCAGCCCUGCCAGGUCCUGAUUUUGAGCUAGAUACAGCAGCCAGCUUACUUCCUUAUGCGAAUGGGAGAUUCUCCCUGUAUAUGCUGAACAUCCAUGCGUCUGUAUGUGGAAUGCUGUCCCGCACACUGUGUCUGAAGAGCCAGAUUAACAAUGGGGCGGAUUGAGCAACAGUCACA